RNAcentral lists this long non-coding RNA (238 nucleotides) under Fukomys damarensis (Damara mole-rat). Its description in RNAcentral is "lncRNA (ENSFDAG00000028879.1)". Lineage: Eukaryota; Metazoa; Chordata; Mammalia; Rodentia; Bathyergidae. The record is from RNAcentral.
CACGUUGCUUCCUAUAACACAUGACAUAAUAGGCAGCUUCUCCUUGGCUACCACCAGAGAGAACAUAGGGGUCAAGACACAACAUUCUCUCCUGCAUACAAUUUCUAAGUCAUAUUAGCAACUAAUGGCAUCUUUCCCCCGGUCAAAUGCUUUUAGGGCUUGGGCUUCCCUACCAGUGAGGUCUGAGAGCCACCCACAUCAGUGUCAGCAGCUUUGUCUUUGCCUGAAGGAGGGAUGA